RNAcentral lists this unclassified non-coding RNA (2110 nucleotides) under Hevea brasiliensis (rubber tree). Lineage: Eukaryota; Viridiplantae; Streptophyta; Magnoliopsida; Malpighiales; Euphorbiaceae. The record is from RNAcentral.
UGGACUCGGCAUAUCUUCACCCUCCCAGCAUCAUUUGUCUCCGUGACCUGAAUCAUGUUUCGAAGAAUGAGUUCUGUGAGGUACUCUUCUGCUAUCUCCUCCAUUGUCAUUCCCUUUCUUUCUCUAAUGAAUCCUUCUGCUACCCAUAGCCGAAUUAGCUUCUUUCUCUUAAUUGGGUAACCAUCAUGGAAAACGCAGCAAUAUAAGAAACAAUGCUGCAAGUAGAAUGGUAAAUCAUUGAAACUCAACAGCAAGAUGCCUUUCACUCGUUCAAGCAUGGGAUUGUUAUUGAGUUGCCAAUUGAGGCUUUCAAAAACAGUCUUCCAUUCAUCAAUCCUCUUGCUUCUUGAACACAUGAGACCUCCAACAGCCACUAUUGCUAGAGGCAAGCCUUCACAUUUCUGCACAAUAGCCUCAGCUAAAGGUUGAAGAUGUCGGGGACACAUAUGCUCUGGGUCAUGCCAGAAUGCUUUUUUGCAGAAGAGAGACCAAGCAUCUUUCUGUUGAAGACGCUGAAGGUGAUGGAUAUGGCUUCCAAUUCCAAUGGAGGCAGCCACAUUCCCAUUUCUUGUUGUGAGGACAAUUCUGCUUCCAUAUCUGUUAUUGGGAAAUGCACCUCUUAUUUUGCUCCAAAGGUCUAUGCUCCACACAUCAUCUAAGACAAUAACAUACCUCUUCUGAUGCAAAUAAUCAACAAGCACUCUGACAAGAUUCCUGUAAUUCAUUGAACCCAAGUUGCUUGGUAUUGGCACUUGUUUUGUAUGAAAAAUUUCUUUGAUCAUGCUUCUUAAUAGCUCAUCAAUUCCAUAUAUUUGUGACACAGAUAUCCAUGCUCCACAAUCGAAGUGUCUCUUGAUUAUUUGAUUGUUGAAGACCCUUGUGACUAAAGUGGUCUUACCCAGGCCACCCAUUCCCACAAUUGAAAUAACAGUUCGGCGUGGUUCCUCCUCUGUUAACCAUCCAAGUAACUUUUCAGUAUUCUCUUCCAUCCCCACUAUCUCAUCUUCAUCUACAAAAGAUGAUGAUUCUCCGUAGUGUUGCCACCUAUCACUAGCCACAUUUCUAGUCCUCCCCUCUUCAAGCUGAUCAAAACCGUAUCGCUUGCUUCUCUCAUAAACCUCAUGAACCUUAGCUUUGAUCUUUUGUAGCUUUGAGGAAAUCUGAUGCCUUUUGGUCAUGUUCUUGGGGAAGUUGACCACAUCUUGGACUACAACCUUGAAUCCAUUUUUAAACUGCUCUCUGCUUUUGUAAUGCAUGAACUCAUCUAUUAUAUCCUCAGCCUCAUAUGCAACUUCUCUUACUUGCCUCACCCAUGUUUCCACCGACUCACUCCUUUCCUUCCUUCGUUCUGCAUCUCUUAAGAAUGAUCUCAUGCUCUCUAACUCAAGCUUUAUUUUUUCAACUUCAUCACGAGCAUCUCCAAGUAAUGAUGCCUUUUGCAUUAGAACAUUAGUUAGUUUAUCAAGCAAGAAGUUCACAGCGCCAUCUGCCAUUUUUACUUUGAAAAUUCUUCCUUAACCUGUUACUCUUUUGUUCUGCAAUUUCAUUUUCUUUCUUUGUUUGAAAGGAGAGAGGAAGCCGCAAACAAAAGGUGAGCAGGUAGGUUUCAUCUAAUAGUUUGACUGAGCCAACGAUGACUUAGAGGAAGACUUUAAAUGGGUUGAAAAUUAACACGAAAUUGUACCAUUGCUGAUCAUUUUAUUGGCUGGCCGGCCAAUCAAAAACAUAAAUUAAAAGCAUAAUUUGGCCAAUCUUCAUAAUCAUUGAGAAAUCCUACACAAAUAUAAGAGAGAACGCAUUAAAUUUUAGUCAUGUAUUGAAUACCCUCCAAUGUAAAUUUUGCUGGUGAUGAAUCGUUUAAGUUGAAAAAUUAUUAGAGCCAAUCCACCCAUAUAAUAAUUACUCGUAUAAUGUAGUCUAUGAAAUAGCCAGAUGUGUCCAUUGAGAGUAAUUAUCUAUAUUUUCUUGUCAAAUUGAACAUUGCCUUUGACAGCUAAAGCUUCUCAGGAAUGUCUUUAAGUUUGGUUGAAUCACAAUUCCUCAUAUACAUGCAAUAUAACUUGCAUUAAGGUUCAUCACGCAGGUAAUUAUUAUUGAUUUCUUGGUUCAC